GGAGCGGAAGUGGAGCCGCCGCCACUGCAGCCGCCGCCGCCGCCGCCGCUGCCAGAGGAGUGGGCUUGGGAAGGAAGCGGUCACCGCGCUCGGAGCCCCGCUCACAGCGUCUUUGCCCCCUUCAGUCCUCCCACGGGAAUGACCAUGGAUAAAAGUGAACUGGUACAGAAAGCCAAACUUGCCGAGCAGGCUGAGCGCUAUGAUGACAUGGCUGCGGCCAUGAAGGCGGUCACGGAGCAGGGGCCCGAGCUCUCCAACGAAGAGAGGAACCUGCUCUCCGUCGCCUGCAAGAACGUGGUCGGCGCCCGCCCUUCUUCCUGGCGUGUCAUCUCCAGCACUGAGCAGAAGACGGAGAGGAACGAGAAGCAGCAGCAGAUGGGCAAAGAGGACCGGGAGAAGAUCGAGGCUGAGCUGCAGGACAUCUGCAAUGAUGUUCUGGAGCUGUUGGACAAAUACCUUAUUCCCAGUGCUACACAACCAGAAAGUAAGGUGUUCUACUUGAAAAUGAAAGGAGAUUAUUUUAGAUAUCUUUCUGAGGUGGUAUCUGGAGACAAUAAACAAACCACUGUGUCGAACUCUCAGCAGGCUUAUCAGGAAGCCUUUGAAAUUAGUAAGAAAGAAAUGCAGCCUACACACCCAAUUCGACUGGGCCUGGCACUUAAUUUCUCCGUCUUUUACUAUGAGAUUCUAAACUCUCCUGAAAAGGCUUGCAGCCUGGCAAAAACGGCAUUUGAUGAAGCAAUUGCGGAAUUGGAUACACUGAAUGAAGAGUCUUACAAAGACAGCACCUUGAUCAUGCAGUUGCUUAGGGACAAUCUCACUCUGUGGACGUCGGAAAACCAGGGAGACGAAGGAGAUGCUGGGGAGGGAGAGAACUAAUGUCUGUUGUGCUUCGUGAUCUAUUCAGUGUCACUCUGUACCCUCCAUAUAUAUCCCUUAGUGCGAUAAAAAAAAAAAAAAGAAUUGUAAAAAAAAAAAAAGAAAUA
Molecule: non-coding RNA, 986 nt
Organism: Vicugna pacos (alpaca)
Lineage: Eukaryota; Metazoa; Chordata; Mammalia; Artiodactyla; Camelidae
Source: RefSeq, a predicted model, not a curated record